CCGCCUGCCAAUGCAGGGGAUACGGGUUCCUGCCCCAGUCCGGGAAGAUCCCACGUGCCGCGGAGUGGCUGGGCCCGUGAGCCAUGGCCGCCAAGCCUGCGCGUCCGGAGCCUGUGCUCCGCAGCGGGAGAGGCCACAACAGUGAGGGGCCCGCGUACCGCAAAAAAAAAAACAACAUAAAACCAGAAACAUGGUUUUACUGGCCUUGCCUCAGUUUCUCAUGCUACCUCCUGUUCCUGGCAGCUGCCUACAGGGAGGGUUCACAGGUAGGGACCAAAGUAGGGCUAAGCACGAGCCACCUUAAUGCAACCUUGGAUCUGAGA
Small nucleolar RNA from Mesoplodon densirostris (Blainville's beaked whale), 323 nucleotides. The record is from RefSeq and is a predicted model, not a curated record. NCBI's taxonomy places the organism in Eukaryota, Metazoa, Chordata, Mammalia, Artiodactyla, Ziphiidae.